This 450-nucleotide ribosomal RNA is filed under the name uncultured soil bacterium. RNAcentral describes it as "bacterial SSU rRNA". It matches the Rfam family "Bacterial small subunit ribosomal RNA", at positions 951 to 1384 of the family's 1533-position model. The record is from RNAcentral.
UAGUGAUUAACGCGAAGAACCUUACCCAGGCUUGAACAGCGAGUGACCACUCCCGAAAGGGAGCUUCCGCAAGGACACUCGUAGAGGUGCUGCAUGGCUGCCGUCAGCUCGUGUCGUGAGAUGUUGGGUUAAGUCCCGCAACGAGCGCAACCCUUGUUUGCUGUUGCCAUCAGGUUAUGCUGGGCACUCUGCAAAGACUGCCGGUGAUAAACCGGAGGAAGGUGGGGAUGACGUCAAGUCAGCAUGGCCUUUAUGUCUGGGGCUACACACGUGCUACAAUGGCCGGUACAAACCGUCGCAAAGCCGCAAGGUGGAGCUAAUCGGAGAAAGCCGGUCUCAGUUCGGAUAGCAGGCUGCAACUCGCCUGCUUGAAGUUGGAAUCGCUAGUAAUCGCGGAUCAGCACGCCGCGGUGAAUACGUUCCCGGGCCUUGUCACACCGAAUCGAAUUC